Molecule: transfer RNA, 75 nt
Filed under: Neofusicoccum parvum UCRNP2
Lineage: Eukaryota; Fungi; Ascomycota; Dothideomycetes; Botryosphaeriales; Botryosphaeriaceae
Description: tRNA-Tyr (GTA) (tRNA-Tyr-GTA-4-1)
Rfam family: tRNA
About the family: Transfer RNA (tRNA) molecules are approximately 80 nucleotides in length. Their secondary structure includes four short double-helical elements and three loops (D, anti-codon, and T loops).
Source: RNAcentral
CUCCGUUUGGUCUAGUUGGUUUAUGACAUUUGACUGUAAAUCAAAGGGUCCCUAGUUCGAUUCUGGGAACGGAGA